This 253-nucleotide ribosomal RNA is filed under the name uncultured bacterium. Its description in RNAcentral is "partial 16S ribosomal RNA". It matches the Rfam family "Bacterial small subunit ribosomal RNA", at positions 524 to 776 of the family's 1533-position model. The record is from RNAcentral.
UACGUAGGGGGCAAGCGUUGUCCGGAAUCAUUGGGCGUAAAGCGCGUGUAGGCGGUCCAGUAAGUCCGCUGUGAAAGUCGGGGGCUCAACCCUCGGAUGCCGGUGGAUACUGUCGGGCUUGAGUACGGAAGAGGCGAGUGGAAUUCCUGGUGUAGCGGUGAAAUGCGCAGAUAUCAGGAGGAACACCAAUUGCGAAGGCAGCUCGCUGGGACGUUACUGACGCUGAGACGCGAAAGCGUGGGGAGCAAACAGG